AGUUUACUGUGACCAUCCAAAAGGAAAUUUAAAAGAAACAUAAGAAACAAGUCCCUGAGUGGGUUUCCUGAAGACUGAUGCUUCAGAAAGUUUCCAUAGUCCAGUCACCAGUUGGGCCCAGAAUUCUGAUGUGAAAAGCCUAGAAUGAUCAAAGCGUGAAAGGUCUUUGGACAUGGGACUCCCCAUGCCCACCACGUUUUUCUAGAUCCCUGCUGCUCCCUCAGUGACACUUGCCUCUCUCAUUCCACUCUUCACCUGGACAUAUCUUCCCCUUCAAGAUUCAGCUUGGACCCAAGAUUGCCUUGGUUUUCCCAUUGCAUGUCUCCUCAGUCUCCAGAGCUUCCCUCCAGCAUGCAUGAUUGCAGACCAUAAUGUUAAUGGCAGUGUGCUUUCCUCAUUCAAGGGCAAGCUUCAAGAGGACAGUGGCCAUGACUUUUUCAAGACGAUGAGCCUAGUGCAUGGGGUGGUUCUAACGACACAGACUGUCUGGUUGGAAGAACAAAUGAUUGAGUUAUUGACUGAGCCAAGUAUUAUUAACCCCCAAUUUUCAGAUAAGAAAAAUGAGGCUCAGAGAGGAUAAAUGGUCACCCUGUAGAGUAGAUUUUUUUCUAGCAGAUCUAGGAUUUGAACCACAUUGUUCUUGUUCUCAUAGUUGCUCUCAACAAAAGUGGGAGAGUCCUGAAGUCCCAUGUCCAUUUUCUCCAGCCUCAUAUAGACCUUUGUUGGUCUAUAGCAAGAAAGCACUACUGAAAAACAAAGGCCUCAAAGCAUGUAAGGCCAGCCCAUGGUGCAGGGGCUAGAAAUUAGCCUGGAGCUGAGGAGCAUCCAGAACCUCCGCUAAGGGCAGAGAUGAGGUUGAUUCAACAUGGAUUUUCUGAGUGUUUGCUGUGUGUUUCACCCAUGCUGUAAGCCGUGGGGAGUUUGGAGAUGGGCAGCAGAUACAGCUUGACCCUCAGUCUGCCUACCAGUUCUUCAAGGCUACUUAAGGGACAUGCACAUAUGGCUGAAACAACCUUAAAUCAGAGGAGGCAGACAAGUGGAAGAGAAAAGCCCCUGGCUGGAACUGGAAGGCCUGCCUUUCUCCCCCAUGACCUUUAGGGAACCACUUAUUUCCCUCUGAGAGUUUUAGUUUCCACACCUGCAAAAUUUAGCAAAUGGACUGGCCUCAGGGAAGUCAGCAGGCCUGAUGUGAUUCCCAGUUUGUUUUCAUUCUGCUUGUACGUUAGGGACUGA
This is a long non-coding RNA of Lutra lutra (Eurasian river otter), 1233 nucleotides long. RefSeq lists it as uncharacterized. The transcript has 3 exons. Lineage: Eukaryota; Metazoa; Chordata; Mammalia; Carnivora; Mustelidae. The record is from RefSeq and is a predicted model, not a curated record.